UGUGGGAGCGGGCUUGCCCGCGAUGACGGACUGUCAGGCAAUACUAAUGUUGGAUGUGCCGACCUCAUCGCGGGCAAGCCCGCUCCCACA
RNAcentral lists this unclassified non-coding RNA (90 nucleotides) under Pseudomonas sp. Z003-0.4C(8344-21). The record is from RNAcentral. Lineage: Bacteria; Pseudomonadati; Pseudomonadota; Gammaproteobacteria; Pseudomonadales; Pseudomonadaceae.